RNAcentral lists this ribosomal RNA (399 nucleotides) under Helicobacter pylori. RNAcentral describes it as "bacterial SSU rRNA". It matches the Rfam family "Bacterial small subunit ribosomal RNA", at positions 65 to 493 of the family's 1533-position model. Lineage: Bacteria; Pseudomonadati; Campylobacterota; Epsilonproteobacteria; Campylobacterales; Helicobacteraceae. The record is from RNAcentral.
AACGAUGAAGCUUCUAGCUUGCUAGAAGUGGAUUAGUGGCGCACGGGUGAGUAACGCAUAGGUCAUGUGCCUCUUAGUUUGGGAUAGCCAUUGGAAACGAUGAUUAAUACCAGAUACUCCCUACGGGGGAAAGAUUUAUCGCUAAGAGAUCAGCCUAUGUCCUAUCAGCUUGUUGGUAAGGUAAUGGCUUACCAAGGCUAUGACGGGUAUCCGGCCUGAGAGGGUGAACGGACACACUGGAACUGAGACACGGUCCAGACUCCUACGGGAGGCAGCAGUAGGGAAUAUUGCUCAAUGGGGGAAACCCUGAAGCAGCAACGCCGCGUGGAGGAUGAAGGUUUUAGGAUUGUAAACUCCUUUUGUUAGAGAAGAUAAUGACGGUAUCUAACGAAUAAGCAC